GUGCUUGCUUCGGGAGUACAUAUACUAAAAUUGGAAAGAUACAGAGAUUAGCAUGGCUCCUACGCAAGGAUUACACGCAAAUUCGUGAAGCAUUCCAUAUUUUU
Phyllostomus hastatus (greater spear-nosed bat) is the source of this 104-nucleotide small nuclear RNA. Lineage: Eukaryota; Metazoa; Chordata; Mammalia; Chiroptera; Phyllostomidae. The record is from RefSeq and is a predicted model, not a curated record.